RNA transcript from Orcinus orca (killer whale), 4615 nucleotides. It is a transcript of the gene named 1-acyl-sn-glycerol-3-phosphate acyltransferase delta, with no coding region annotated. The transcript is spliced from 20 exons. Lineage: Eukaryota; Metazoa; Chordata; Mammalia; Artiodactyla; Delphinidae. The record is from RefSeq and is a predicted model, not a curated record.
CGCCCCCAAGGGCGGGCGCGGGGGACAGGCUUCCUGCACGAUUUAACCCGGGAGCGUCGCUCGUGUGAGGCGCAGGCGGCCGCCGGCGUGCGUGUAGGCCCUUGCUCGCCCGGCAGCCUCCAACUGCCCAGUGGCCAUGAUAGUGUUUGUCAGGUUCAACUCCAGCCAUGGUUUCCCAGUGGAGGUCGAUUCUGACACCAGCAUCUUCCAGCUCAAGGAGGUGGUUGCUAAGCAACAGGGGGUUCCAGCUGACCAGUUGCGUGUGAUUUUCGCAGGGAAGGAGCUGAGGAAUGACUUGACAGUGCGGAGCUGUGACCUGGAUCAGCAGAGCAUCGUUCACAUUGUGCUCAGACCCCAGAGAAAAGUCCCAGAAAGGAGCACAGCUGGAAGGGACAGCCCGCAGAACACUGCGGGGGGCUCUGAGAGGGAACCUGAGAGCCUAACUCGGGUGGACCUCAGCAGCUCCGUCCUCCCGGCCGACUCAGUGGGUCUGGCUGUUAUUCUGAAGGAUGACAACGAGAAUGGUGGCCCACCAGCUGGAAGGCCAGCAGGUAGACCAACCUACAACAGCUUUUUUGUCUACUGCAAAGGCCCCUGUCAAGGAGUGCAGCCAGGAAAGCUCAGGGUACGGUGCAGCACCUGCCAACAAGCGACGCUCACCUUGGCCCAGGGUCCUUCUCGCUGGGAAGAUGUCUUAAUCCCAAACCAGAUGAGUGGUGAAUGCCAGUCUCCAAACUGUCCUGGGACUAGAGCAGAAUUUUUCUUUAAAUGUGGAGCACACCCGACCUCUGACAAGGAAACGUCAGUAGCUUUGAACCUGAUCACAACAAAUAGUCGAGACAUCACCUGCAUAACAUGUAUGGACAUCAGAAGCCCGGUCCUGGUUUUCCAGUGCAACUACCGCCACGUGAUUUGCUUAGACUGUUUCCACCUCUACUGUGUGACGAGACUCAAUGAUCGGCAGUUUGUCCACGACCCUCAGCUUGGUUACUCUCUACCUUGUGUGGCUGGCUGCCCCAACUCCUUGAUUAAAGAGCUCCAUCACUUCAGGAUUCUUGGAGAAGAGCAGUACAACCGGUACCAGCAAUAUGGCGCCGAAGAGUGCGUGCUGCAGAUGGGGGGCGUGCUGUGCCCCAGCCCGGGCUGCGGAGCAGGGCUGCUUCCUGAGCCCAGCCAGAGGAAGGUCACCUGCGAAGGGGGCAGCGGCCUGGGCUGCGGGUUCGUCUUUUGCCGGGACUGUAAGGAACCGUACCACGAAGGUGAAUGCAGUGCCCUGUUCGAAGCCUCAGGAACAGUUACUCAGGCCUACCAAGUUGAUGAGAAGACGGCAGAGCGGGCUCGGUGGGAGCACGCCUCCAAAGAAACGAUCAAGAAGACCUCUAAACCCUGUCCCCGUUGCCACGUGCCGGUGGAAAAACAUGGCGUAUUCCUGAGUCCCGGCCGUCCUGUCCUCUGGACGUGUUCUACGGUGGGCGUCUGUGGUUUGGUGGAGGAGCGCCCACCCAGCAUGGACCUCAUCGCGUUGCUGAAGUCUCAGUUUCUGUGCCAUCUCAUCUUCUGUUACGUGUUUAUCGCCUCGGGGCUCAUCAUCAACACCAUUCAGCUCUUCACGCUCCUCCUCUGGCCAAUUAACAAGCAACUUUUCCGGAAGAUCAACUGCCGGCUGUCCUACUGCAUCUCCAGCCAGCUGGUGAUGCUGCUGGAAUGGUGGUCGGGCACGGAGUGCAUCAUCCACACGGACCCCCGGGCCUACCCCAAGUACGGGAAGGAAAACGCCAUCGUUGUUCUGAACCACAAGUUUGAGAUCGACUUUCUCUGCGGUUGGAGCCUGGCCGAGCGCUUCGGGGUCUUAGGGGGCUCCAAGGUCCUGGCCAAGAAGGAGCUGGCCUACGUCCCCAUAAUCGGCUGGAUGUGGUACUUCACGGAGAUGGUCUUCUGCACGCGCAAGUGGGAGCAGGACCGCAAGACCGUCUCUGAGAGCCUGCUGCACCUGCGGGACUACCCCGAGAAGUACUUUUUCCUGAUUCACUGCGAGGGCACGCGGUUCACGGAGAAGAAGCACCAGAUAAGCAUGCAGGUGGCCCAGGCCAAGGGGCUGCCCAGCCUCAAGCACCACCUGCUGCCUCGCACCAAGGGCUUCGCCAUCACCGUGAGGAGUUUGAGAAAUGUAGUUUCAGCUGUAUAUGACUGUACACUCAAUUUCAGAAAUAAUGAAAAUCCAACACUGCUGGGAGUCCUAAAUGGAAAGAAAUAUCACGCAGAUUUAUACGUUAGGCGGAUCCCUUUAGGAGAAGUCCCAGAAGAUGAGGACAGGUGCGCGGCCUGGCUGCACAAGCUCUACCAGGAGAAGGACGCCCUCCAGGAGGAGUACUCCCGCACGGGCACCUUCCCCGGGACGCCCAUGGUGCCCCCGCGGCGGCCCUGGACGCUCGUCAACUGGCUGUUCUGGGCCUCGCUGCUGCUCUACCCGUUCUUCCGCUUCCUCGUCAACAUGGUCCGCAGCGGCUCCUCCCUGACGUUGGCCAGCUUCGUCCUCGUCUUCUUCGUGGCUUCCGUGGGGGUCCGAUGGAUGAUUGGUGUCACGGAAAUCGACAAGGGCUCCGCCUACGGCAACAUGGACAGCAAGCAGAAACACGGCGACUGACCCAGGACGCACCACCGUCCACAGGGGACCUUGGAGGACUGGUGGAUGCUGCCAUCGUCCUUGGAGGGACCCAGUGAUGAAGCUGGCAAGGAGAUUCUAGACCCUAAAGGAACUCCUAACCCAGCGCCCACCUUCAGCACACUUGAUUGUACCCCUUCUGUUGAGGAACACAUGAGUGACAAGGACAGACCUCUGUAUCAGAUAAUGUGUUGGCUCUGAAGCUGAUAACCAUUAAAAGACAAUAUAACUGAGCUUUCCUAAAAUAAAUCAUUUAUUGAAAAAAGAACCUUUUUCUUAAAUUUCAUUAAUCAGCCUUUUGCAUAACAAACCUGUGGCUUGCCAACAACAACAACAACAGGUAAGGUUUCACAGUCAGUGCACUCGACAAACAAGAGAUUAACAAGGCCCAGGACGCCUGAUAACACUACAACUGCUUUUGAACCUAGAAAGGUCAAAAAUACUACACUGAUGUCACGGUUCUCAGUCACCCGAGAAACGGAGGUGACGGAGGUGAUGGUCCGUGUACAGUAGUAAUGGCACUUAACAUGCAGCUUCUUUACCUCGUGGACACCAUCACUCAGGAGGGCCCCGUGCCACGUCGAACAAACAGGAGCAGCAGGAGAAGUGACGCUUGUCACCUGUGCAGUCUUCAGUCUUGGAAGGUUAAAAAGGCUUAUACUGCUUCUCAGCACAGUCUUUAUGUAAAUAUUACAUACAGUAGUGAUUAAGAGAAUUUUCCGAGUACACACACUACUAGGCCACAGACUGGUUAGCUUCAUUCUUCAUCUGUGCAAACCUGUGAGGAAGGCAGGAGAGAGCUGAACCCUAUUCACGCCACAUGUAAGAUUUACAGGUAAGUCAUAAUCAGUGCAUCUUGAUGCUCCCAGCACUGUGCCUGGCACAGAGCAAAGGCGUAAUCAAUGCAAUGAAAUGUCAGUGCUAAGUUACUGCUCUAUGAAUUGACUAUUGAAAGCAUUUUUAAGAAUGUAUUUGUGGGGCUUCCCUGGUGGCGCAGUGGUUGAGAGUCCGCCUGCCGAUGCAGGGGACAUGGGUUCAAGCCCUGGUCUGGGAAGAUCCCACAUGCCGCAGAGCAACUAGGCCCGUGAGCCACAACUACUGAGCCUGUGCUCCUCAACAAGAGAGGCCGUGAUAGUGAGAGGCCCGCGCACUGCAAUGAAGAGUGGCCCCCGCUCGCCGCAACUAGAGAAAGCCCUCACACAGAAACGAAGACCCAACACAGCCAAAAAUAAAUAAAUAAAUAUUUUUUAAAAAAGGGCUUAAUACAUUAAAAAAAGAACAUAUUUGUACAAUAUCAAGUCAAUAAAAAUUGCUUAUAUACUUUAUAAAGAAUAAAUACAUUUUUAUUUAAUUACAAAUCCCUAAUAUCUAUGCAGCAUAUCCAGCUAUUGAUUACUUAAUUUCACUCACCAAGGAAUAAUGUGACCCCUCUCUUGAAUCUUUCUUUCCUGUAUGAGGAGCUCCUCUGCAGGACCCUGUAAAUGUUUUCUCCAGGUUUCCACUCUCAUUCCAUGUCUCCUCUAAAUGCUCUCCCAGCAAUAUUUCUCUCUCUCAAAUCCGUAUCCUAUCCCAGUUCUCUCGAGUGCCAGUCCAAAAUAUCCAAAUGCCUGUCUAAAAUCCCCCAACAGAUAUUCCAAAUACGCCUCGAACUCAAUCUACCAAAGAGGAGACCAUCAUCUCCCGACGCAACCCUCAACCAGAUGCCCUCUUUACCUAUCUUGGCAAAUGGAAUCUCGAUAACCUGGUGACACAAGCCAGAGCCCGGGAGCCGUCCUGGACUCCUCCCCGUCACGCGCCUUUCACAUCCCAUCAGUUACUCACUCACGGCCAUUCUCACUCCUAUAUACGGCUGGUGACUCACCCCUGACCUCCCACUCCCAACCCAGCAGCUGUGUCAGCAGCUUCCCAACUAGUCUCUCACCUCCAGAGUGACUGUUCUAAAACACAAUUUAA